RNAcentral lists this ribosomal RNA (492 nucleotides) under uncultured bacterium. Its description in RNAcentral is "partial 16S ribosomal RNA". It matches the Rfam family "Bacterial small subunit ribosomal RNA", at positions 29 to 507 of the family's 1533-position model. The record is from RNAcentral.
AGUGAACGCUGGCGGUAGGCCUAACACAUGCAAGUCGAACGGAAGCACAGUAAGAGCUUGCUCUUACGGGUGGCGAGUGGCGGACGGGUGAGGAAUACAUCGCAAUCUACUUUUUCGUGGGGGAUAACGUAGGGAAACUUACGCUAAUACCGCAUACGAUCUACGGGUGAAAGCAGUGGAUCUUCGGACCUUGCGCGAUUGAAUUAGCCGAUGUCGGAUUAGCUAGUUGGCGGGGUAAAGGCCCACCAAGGCGACGAUGCGUAGCUGGUCUGAGAGGAUGAUCGGCCACACUGGAACUGAGACACGGUCCAGACUCCUACGGGAGGCAGCAGUGGGGAAUAUUGGACAAUGGGCGAAAGCCUGAUCCAGCCAUGCCGCGUGGGUGAAGAAGGCCUUCGGGUUGUAAAGCCCUUUUGUUGGGGAAGAAAAACUGUAGGAGAAUAUCUCGAUGUCCUGACGGUACCCAAUGAGUAAGCACCGGCUAACUUCGUG